Molecule: ribosomal RNA, 554 nt
Filed under: Neogloboquadrina pachyderma
Lineage: Eukaryota; Foraminifera; Rotaliida; Globorotaliidae
Description: SSU rRNA
Rfam family: Eukaryotic small subunit ribosomal RNA
Source: RNAcentral
GCACCACAAGAACGCGUGGAGCAUGUGGCUUAAUUUGACUCAACGCGGGAAAUCUUACCGGGUCCGGACACACUGAGGAUUGACAGGCAAUAUCUCGACUGUUUAAUAAUAAUAACCGUUUAUUAAUAAACGGUUUAUUAAACAGAUCGAGUGUUAAAUAUGCUAGUCCUUUCAUGAUUAUGUGAUAGGUGGUGCAUGGCCGUUCUUAGUUCGUGGAGUGAUCUGUCUGCUUAAUUGCGUUUCACUAAGGGCCCAUAAAUUCAAGGUAUGUUAGCAAUCGUCGCUCUAUGGACCCCUUAUUUCAGUUUAUUAAUAAACUGUUAUAAGCGCGCGUCUUGUUUAAAGAGUUUAAGACACUGCGCAUGCUGUUGGGCUCUGAAAGCAACGAACGUGACCGCAACGUCUUGUUGCCUUAAUCAAGUCGGCUGUUUAAUCUGUUUAAUUAAACAGACAGCAGUCAUUAUAUGGCUUAUCCGAGGCUAUUUAAAACUAGACGAACCGCUGUUUCUUUUCUUAAACCAGAGGAAGGUUGCGGCAAUAACAGGUCUGUGAUG